RNAcentral lists this non-coding RNA (21 nucleotides) under Caenorhabditis elegans. Lineage: Eukaryota; Metazoa; Nematoda; Chromadorea; Rhabditida; Rhabditidae. The record is from RNAcentral.
UACCACGAUUUUUAUCACAAA